This 82-nucleotide ribosomal RNA is filed under the name Salmonella enterica subsp. enterica serovar Infantis. RNAcentral describes it as "partial 16S ribosomal RNA". It matches the Rfam family "Bacterial small subunit ribosomal RNA", at positions 1 to 83 of the family's 1533-position model. Lineage: Bacteria; Pseudomonadati; Pseudomonadota; Gammaproteobacteria; Enterobacterales; Enterobacteriaceae. RNAcentral also lists the same sequence under 43 other names. The record is from RNAcentral.
AAAUUGAAGAGUUUGAUCAUGGCUCAGAUUGAACGCUGGCGGCAGGCCUAACACAUGCAAGUCGAACGGUAGCACAGAGAGC